Long non-coding RNA from Anguilla rostrata (American eel), 1566 nucleotides. RefSeq lists it as uncharacterized. The transcript has 4 exons. The record is from RefSeq and is a predicted model, not a curated record. NCBI's taxonomy places the organism in Eukaryota, Metazoa, Chordata, Actinopteri, Anguilliformes, Anguillidae.
UCUGCUGUGGUCCACGUCUUAGUAGCUGACUGCCUGUUAGCUCCUUCUUCCCUCAGCCUUUACAUUUUCUCAGUUUCUGCAAAGUUAUGAGCAGCCAUGGGAGACCGUGUAACCUGGUCUUCCGUGCUUUGAGAGGGUCUAAGUCUCCAUCGAGCCUCAGAACAGGGAAAAACUGGAAUGCUCCAGAGCAGAUCUUGGCACAGAAACACUCUCUGCUUUGCCAAGCUCCCACUGUGAGAGCGAGUGCAGAAGGGAAGGACUUUUCCUUCUCAUGGUAAUACAGACAACAGGACAGUACACUUACUACAGCUCAUUGGUCUAUGAGGUUUGAUCAUCCUCAUUCUCCAGAAGACAAAGCUGGAGAGACCGAGAACCAGCAGACAAAAUUCGCCCCAGUCCACCCCAUCCCACCUAAACCUGCCCGAGAGCUGUUGUAGCCAGGCUGUAAAUCUCCAUCUGUCGCAGCUCAGCAGUCACCUGACCUUCUGCUGCCAAGACCUUGACCCCAUGACCCUGACGAGCGUGCCUGCUGGUCUAUCACCGCCCCCUCCUAACUCCCCGGACACACACUGCCACUGCAGCCCCUCUGGCUGCCUCUUCCUAUUUCUAUUCCCCCAUCUCCUUGUCCUCGUUCCCCCUGGUUGCUGCAGAUUGGAAAUAAUCACCCUGCUUAAUUCAACACGCAUCUCUGCAACCCAACAUCUGCUGAUCCUGUUCUGCUGAACCAAAAAACCACCAUAACUGCUUCUCCAUUUAGUUGUCUUUUAAAAAGGUUUCAAAAAGGAUACAGUGAGUCUUGUCCUGAUUUUCUGAACAAAAUUACUCUGCAAGGAUGAAACUGCCUAUAAAAAAUAGAAAAGAUUUUAAUAGACACAUGCCUAAGAUAAGUGCUAUAAAUAUCUGUAUAGUAGGGAGAUUGGGUUCUAAAAAACAACACUAUGUAUGAAACGGAAGUCUAAAGAGAGGCUUGACAGCGAUGACUGAAGACCAAUGUCCUGGACUGGCCUUCAAGAUAUAAGCAGAAUGCACAGUGAAUACAAGGAAGCUAGACUUAUAAAUAGAUGAAGUUGUGUGAGAUGGAGGGCAGAUAAAAUCAUGUCCUGCAAACAGACAAAGAGGAAAAGAAGCUCUAGUGAAAACACAUUGAUUUGAUGUUUCCUAAAAUCUAUCCUUUAAAUGAUAUUUCAGGAAAACCACUGCAGUGCAGAGGAGCACUGAUCUAGUGUGUUUGGGAAUGAUGACUGAGAAGGGGGGAACUGUGUUUUUGUUGUUGCCUCUCUAAAUUGAUAGAGUAUCAAGUACAUAACCCUUUUACCAUGUUGCCUGUGUGAAUUGGCAACACUGAGCUAUUCCUUUGGUCUGAACACUUCUGUAGGCAUACAUCUUUAAUAACAGUACACUACCAGUGGUAUCUCUGCCCUUAAAUCCUCGAGAUUUAAGACCUGAAAUCAACAUCCUUUCAAUAUGUCUGCACAAAGUCAUGUGACUAAAUCGUAUAUUUUUUUACUGUUCAUUUUUUAUAUUUGAAAAGCUAUUGUUCAUGUUUUAUCCAUGUGCAGUUUAGUG